Molecule: ribosomal RNA, 464 nt
Filed under: Vreelandella stevensii
Lineage: Bacteria; Pseudomonadati; Pseudomonadota; Gammaproteobacteria; Oceanospirillales; Halomonadaceae
Description: partial 16S ribosomal RNA
Rfam family: Bacterial small subunit ribosomal RNA
Source: RNAcentral
CCUAGGGGGGCUGCAGUGGGGAAUAUUGGACAAUGGGCGAAAGCCUGAUCCAGCCAUGCCGCGUGUGUGAAGAAGGCCUUCGGGUUGUAAAGCACUUUCAGUGGGGAAGAAAGCCUUGGGGCUAAUACCCUCGAGGAAGGACAUCACCCACAGAAGAAGCACCGGCUAACUCCGUGCCAGCAGCCGCGGUAAUACGGAGGGUGCGAGCGUUAAUCGGAAUUACUGGGCGUAAAGCGCGCGUAGGCGGUCUGAUAAGCCGGUUGUGAAAGCCCCGGGCUCAACCUGGGAACGGCAUCCGGAACUGUCAGGCUAGAGUGCAGGAGAGGAAGGUAGAAUUCCCGGUGUAGCGGUGAAAUGCGUAGAGAUCGGGAGGAAUACCAGAGGCGAAGGCGGCCUUCUGGACUGACACUGACGCUGAGGUGCGAAAGCGUGGGUAGCAAACAGGAUUAGAUACCCCUGUAGUC